AGGUGGGAGGAUCACUUGAGCCUGGGAGAUGGAGGUUGCAGUGAGCUGAGAUCACACCACUGCACACCAACCUGGG
MicroRNA precursor from Nomascus leucogenys (northern white-cheeked gibbon), 76 nucleotides. Lineage: Eukaryota; Metazoa; Chordata; Mammalia; Primates; Hylobatidae. The record is from Ensembl.